RNAcentral lists this ribosomal RNA (301 nucleotides) under uncultured bacterium. RNAcentral describes it as "partial 16S ribosomal RNA". It matches the Rfam family "Bacterial small subunit ribosomal RNA", at positions 509 to 807 of the family's 1533-position model. The record is from RNAcentral.
CAGCAGCCGCGGUAAUACGAAGGGGGCUAGCGUUGCUCGGAAUCACUGGGCGUAAAGGGUGCGUAGGCGGGUCUUUAAGUCAGGGGUGAAAUCCUGGAGCUCAACCCCAGAACUGCCUUUGAUACUGAAGAUCUUGAGUUCGGGAGAGGUGAGUGGAACUGCGAGUGUAGAGGUGAAAUUCGUAGAUAUUCGCAAGAACACCAGUGGCGAAGGCGGCUCACUGGCCCGAUACUGACGCUGAGGCACGAAAGCGUGGGGAGCAAGCAGGAUUAGAUACCCCAGUAGUCCCUGUCUCUUAUAC